Molecule: long non-coding RNA, 748 nt
Organism: Pongo pygmaeus (Bornean orangutan)
Lineage: Eukaryota; Metazoa; Chordata; Mammalia; Primates; Hominidae
Exons: 3
Source: RefSeq, a predicted model, not a curated record
AUCAUUCACCUCACUUCAUCUCACCAAGUAAGCAUUUUAUCAUCUCAUUAUCACCACAAUGAUGCAUGAUGAAAUGUAUGAAAUGAUUAAUGUCUGGGAUUUGCUUGAAAACAAUCACAGUUGUGGGAGGAAGUAAAAAUACAGACAAAACAAGAAACAAGAGUGGGCAGGAGCUGACCAUUGUUUAAGAUGAUCACAGCUCCUGAAAAGAUACAGGGUUGAAAGAAGCGAGCAAUUUCAGCUGCUGCCCAACACAGGAGAAAAAGUUUGGAGCCCAGCUAAGUUAAGUACCAUUAAUACCAAAAGUCAAUAUUGUUUCAGAGGAAGAUAAUAGAAUUCAGUCUUUAUACCAUAGCUCCCAAAAUGUACAGUAUAUGAGUCAAACUUACUAGAUCCGUAAUGAAAUGGGGAAAUGUGACCACUGGUAAAGAGAAAAAACAGUCAACUGAAACCAAACCCACAGUAACCCAAAUUUAGAAUAAUCAGAAGACUAUUAUAAACUUUUUAAAACAUGUUUAAGGAUUUAAGAGAAAAUAUGGUCAUAAUAAAUGAACACACAGGUAAUCUAAGCAGAGAAUAAAACAAGGGAACAAAAUGGAAAAUCCAGAACUAAAAAGUAUAAUAUCUGAAAUAAAAAAUUCACCGGAUGAACUUAACAGCAGACUGGUGAUGGGUCAGUGAACCUGAAGACAAAGAGAAAUUUUCCAAUCUGCAGAAGAAAAAAAAAAAAAAAAAAAAGAAACUGCAC